RNAcentral lists this ribosomal RNA (492 nucleotides) under uncultured bacterium. RNAcentral's name for it is "partial 16S ribosomal RNA". It matches the Rfam family "Bacterial small subunit ribosomal RNA", at positions 29 to 507 of the family's 1533-position model. The record is from RNAcentral.
AGUGAACGCUGGCGGUAGGCCUAACACAUGCAAGUCGAACGGCAGCACAGUAAGAGCUUGCUCUUACGGGUGGCGAGUGGCGGACGGGUGAGGAAUACAUCGGAAUCUACUUUUUCGUGGGGGAUAACGUAGGGAAACUUACGCUAAUACCGCAUACGACCUACGGGUGAAAGCAGGGGAUCUUCGGACCUUGCGCGAUUGAAUGAGCCGAUGUCGGAUUAGCUAGUUGGCGGGGUAAAGGCCCACCAAGGCGACGAUACGUAGCUGGUCUGAGAGGAUGAUCAGCCACACUGGAACUGAGACACGGUCCAGACUCCUACGGGAGGCAGCAGUAGGGAAUAUUGGGCAAUGGGCGCAAGCCUGACCCAGCCAUACCGCGUGAGUGAAGAAGGCCUUCGGGUUGUAAAGCCCUUUUGUUAGGAAAGAAAAGCAGCGGAUUAAUACCCGGCUGUUCUGACGGUACCCAAAGAGUAAGCACCGGCUAACUUCGUG